GGGGACGAAUGCAAAUCGGUCGAGCAAGCAGUCUUUCGAAUUGCUCCUAGCGGGUUCGAGUCCCGUCGUCCCUUCCA
RNAcentral lists this transfer RNA (77 nucleotides) under Blastocatellia bacterium. Its description in RNAcentral is "tRNA-Glu". It matches the Rfam family "tRNA". Rfam says of the family: Transfer RNA (tRNA) molecules are approximately 80 nucleotides in length. Lineage: Bacteria; Pseudomonadati; Acidobacteriota; Blastocatellia. The record is from RNAcentral.